AUUGAACGCUGGCGGUAUGCUUAACACAUGCAAGUCGAACGGAAACGAUAGGAGCUUGCUCCUAGGCGUCGAGUGGCGGACGGGUGAGUAACGCGUAGGAAUCUGCCUGAUAGUGGGGGAUAGCCCAGAGAAAUCUGGAUUAAUACCGCAUAAUCUACAUGUAGUAAAGUGGAGGAUCUUCGGACUUCACGCUAUCAGAUGAGCCUGCGUAAGAUUAGCUUGUAGGUAGGGUAAAAGCCUACCUAGGCGACGAUCUUUAGCUGGUCUGAGAGGAUGAUCAGCCACACUGGGACUGAGACACGGCCCAGACUCCUACGGGAGGCAGCA
This 327-nucleotide ribosomal RNA is filed under the name uncultured bacterium. RNAcentral describes it as "bacterial SSU rRNA". It matches the Rfam family "Bacterial small subunit ribosomal RNA", at positions 30 to 353 of the family's 1533-position model. The record is from RNAcentral.